This 652-nucleotide ribosomal RNA is filed under the name uncultured marine eukaryote. Its description in RNAcentral is "SSU rRNA". It matches the Rfam family "Eukaryotic small subunit ribosomal RNA", at positions 613 to 1266 of the family's 1831-position model. The record is from RNAcentral.
UUGUGGUUAAAAAGCUCGUAGUUGGAUCUCGGCGGACUGAGGGCGGUUUGCUUGCUAGUAUUACUGCCCUAUAGUCCGUAGUUUUGCCAGAGGUUUCGGGGUGCUCUUAAUCGAGUGUCCCGGGAUGCUGGCAGGUUUACUUUGAAAAAAUUAGAGUGCUCAAAGCAGGCUAUUACGCCUGAAUAUUCGUGCAUGGAAUAAUAGAAUAGGAAGUCGUUUCUAUUUUGUUGGUUUUCGGAAAUCGACUUAAUGAUUAAUAGGGACAGUCGGGGGCAUUUGUAUUCAAACGACAGAGGUGAAAUUCUUGGACCGUUUGAAGACAAACUACUGCGAAAGCAUUUGCCAAGAAUGUUCUCAUUAAUCAAGGACGAAAGUUAAAGGUUCGAAGGCGAUUAGAUACCGCCCUAGUUUUAACCAUAAACGAUGCCAGCUAGCGAUCUGCGGACGUUUUUUUUGUAGACUCCGCAGGAAGCUUCCGGGAAACCAAGGCAUUUGGGUUCCAGGGGAAGUAUGGUUGCAAAGCUGAAACUUAAAGGAAUUGACGGAAGGGCACCACCAGGAGUGGAGCCUGUGGCUUAAUUUGACUCAACACGGGAAAUCUCACCAGGCCCGGACACUGGAAGGAUUGACAGAUUGAUAGCUCUUUCUUGAU